This 1257-nucleotide long non-coding RNA is filed under the name Mus musculus (house mouse). RNAcentral describes it as "myeloid RNA regulator of BCL2L11 induced cell death". The record is from RNAcentral. Lineage: Eukaryota; Metazoa; Chordata; Mammalia; Rodentia; Muridae.
GGUAGAGACCCUGGGAACCAGACCAGGCGGGCUCACAAAGUAUGAAGAGAAUGUCGGGAGAGGAAGUGGUGGCUCUGAGUCAGCACGAGUCAUCUGGUUCCAGUGACAAUGAAGACUGAGGUGUCUGCUUUGCAGUUUUUUUUUUUCUUUUCUUGUCUUUUUUUUUUUUUUUCCUAAUCAUGUGGACAUCUCUGAGAAUGAGGGGACUGGGUGACUUUGCAGUGUCUGCUUUCUAAGUUUCAAAGUGACUUUCCAGGCAAGCUGCGCAUAUCUUGGGAUCUUCACAGCACAGUGGCUGGGAAGGCAGGCGGACCCGUCUAUCAGCUUCUCCCUGGUGGGAUUCUUGCGGGGGCAGGGAUCGAGUCAAACCUUGGAAAUGACGUCAUUCUGAACUCAUCUGCCUUUAUCCAGAAGACUACCAAAGCAAACCAGAGGACCAGAGAACAGCAGCUGCUCUGGACAAAGAGGGGAGGACACCCACACCCACAUACCAAGUUCUGGUUGACUUCUACAGCAGAAGAAGCAGGAGACACAAGAAGGGGAAGACACAAGGAAGCUGGGCAUGAUGGCCAAGUGUUAGAGGGUUACACUACUGCCUUCUGCUUCUGAUCUGAUUGAGUCACAGCUGAGAUGUGGCACCAGGACUCUUGGCUACACUCAGUUCUCUCAGUUUGACUGAGUACUCUGGGAUCACAGAAGUGACUACAUGAUGUUCUAUGAUUCUAGGCUUUAGUAAGAAGGCCUUCGGAAUCUCCAAAGAAACCAAACGUGUACGUGGGAAGAAGUGUACUUGGUUCGUGUGAUUAUGGAGUCUGACAAGUUCAAAAUCUUCAGUGAGAGCUGUCUGGCUGUAUUCACGAAGAACCGAUGCCAUACUGUCUGGCUGGCAUUAGAGCCCUCUGGAUGCUGUGUGAGCUGCAUGUGAGUUUUGUGAGUUAUGAGUCACAGGUGGCUCCAACCCUGCUUUCUGUCCUUCAGUCUCCCAUUCAGCACCCAACAGAAGAUGCUAGGCACCACUCUGCAUCCUCAAGGGAUAUCGUAUGAAGCAAGAGGCAGGUUUUCUUGGGUCCACAGCAACAUCAAAAAAGAGCAAAACGGACAUGCAAAUAAAUCUAUUUUAGCAUUUGAGACAGACGUCCAACUGAGGAACAUGAUCAGAAGAUGCCAGCCAGUAUAAACAUAUUUUGAAAAUAUGUAUUUCAUUUCUUAUAUAUGUACAUUUGUUCUCGUCGAAAAUAAAGAUCAAAUCAAAUUUCA